UACCCUAUAAUGGUAGUUGUUAAUUUUUUUACUUGGUUAGUAUUAGAUUGUUCUUGAAAUCCAAAUAAUUUGGCGGUAUUUUAUUCUAUUCAGAGGAACCUGUUCUUUAAUUGAUAAUCCACGAUUUUAUUUACUUAAUUUUGUAAUAUCAGUUUUUAUAUUUCCGUCAUAAGAAUAUUUUAAUAGAAUAAAUUUUCUUAAUUGUUAAAAAUAAAUAUGUCAGGUCAAGAUGGAGCUAAUGGUUAAGUAGAAAUGGGUUACAAUAAAGUUAUUUAUAUGGAUUUUUAAUUUUAUAAUUAUUUUGAAGGUGGAUUUGAUAGUAAAUAAAUUUAUUAAGUUUAUUGAUUUAAGUUCUAAAUUAUGUACACAUCGCC
RNAcentral lists this ribosomal RNA (374 nucleotides) under Pseudostigma accedens. Its description in RNAcentral is "partial 12S ribosomal RNA". Lineage: Eukaryota; Metazoa; Arthropoda; Insecta; Odonata; Coenagrionidae. The record is from RNAcentral.